RNAcentral lists this ribosomal RNA (497 nucleotides) under uncultured bacterium. RNAcentral's name for it is "partial 16S ribosomal RNA". It matches the Rfam family "Bacterial small subunit ribosomal RNA", at positions 28 to 507 of the family's 1533-position model. The record is from RNAcentral.
GAUGAACGCUGGCGGCGUGCCUAAUACAUGCAAGUCGAGCGAACGGACGAGAAGCUUGCUUCUCUGAUGUUAGCGGCGGACGGGUGAGUAACACGUGGAUAACCUACCUAUAAGACUGGGAUAACUUCGGGAAACCGGAGCUAAUACCGGAUAAUAUUUUGAACCGCAUGGUUCAAAAGUGAAAGACGGUCUUGCUGUCACUUAUAGAUGGAUCCGCGCUGCAUUAGCUAGUUGGUAAGGUAACGGCUUACCAAGGCAACGAUGCAUAGCCGACCUGAGAGGGUGAUCGGCCACCCUGGACCUGAGACACGGUCCAGACUCCUACGGGAGGCAGCAGUAGGGAAUCUUCCGCAAUGGGCGAAAGCCUGACGGAGCAAAGCCGCGUGAGUGAUGAAGGUCUUCGGAUCGUAAAACUCUGUUAUUAGGGAAGAACAUAUGUGUAAGUAACUGUGCACAUCUUGACGGUACCUAAUCAGAAAGCCACGGCUAACUACGUG